Molecule: ribosomal RNA, 429 nt
Filed under: Gemmatimonadota bacterium
Lineage: Bacteria; Pseudomonadati; Gemmatimonadota
Description: Gemmatimonadetes bacterium partial 16S ribosomal RNA
Rfam family: Bacterial small subunit ribosomal RNA
Source: RNAcentral
UAGGGAAUCUUCGGCAAUGGACGAAAGUCUGACCGAGCAACGCCGCGUGAGUGAAGAAGGUUUUCGGAUCGUAAAACUCUGUUGUUAGAGAAGAACAAGGACGUUAGUAACUGAACGUCCCCUGACGGUAUCUAACCAGAAAGCCACGGCUAACUACGUGCCAGCAGCCGCGGUAAUAGGUAGGUGGCAAGCGUUGUCCGGAUUUAUUGGGCGUAAAGCGAGCGCAGGCGGUUUCUUAAGUCUGAUGUGAAAGCCCCCGGCUCAACCGGGGAGGGUCAUUGGAAACUGGGAGACUUGAGUGCAGAAGAGGAGAGUGGAAUUCCAUGUGUAGCGGUGAAAUGCGUAGAUAUAUGGAGGAACACCAGUGGCGAAGGCGGCUCUCUGGUCUGUAACUGACGCUGAGGCUCGAAAGCGUGGGGAGCAAACAGG